UCUAUUUCAGCUGGGGCAAAAACUACGGGAUUUUUUCAUUAGGGUGUCACCUAAGUCCCUGGGCUGGGAAGGCAACUCUUUGGCUUGGUAUGUCCCUAAUCCUACCUCCCUUCUUUGAUGCAUUUAUGCUGUGGAUCUCCUAAGGUCCUCUCAUCCUUUGGGGUUACAUUAUUUUUCUGGCUUUUCCUUGGGGCCUGAAGCUUAUGGACACAGGGCUUCUGCUGACCCAGCUAUUCCAGAGCUGGAGAUGCUUUGGCCUUAACUAUUUCCCUCCAUGAAAGAAUUCCAAUUCAUUUCCAUCAUCAUAUUCCUAAAGUGGAAACUCAACUUAGAGAAGAUACAUACCAUCCUUCUUUGGAGCUUCUGGACAGUAGAGCUGAGGAAAGAGUGUCUACCUGAAUCCACAUAUCUGGUUAUAGGAUCUCCCCAGAGAAGGAACCUGAUAGAAACAAACAAACAAACAAACAAACAAAAACCUGCGCUGGAAGUUACAGAAUGAGAAGGAUCUAAUUCACCUUGACACAGAGCAGCUGCUUGAUAUCCAAC
Molecule: long non-coding RNA, 546 nt
Organism: Callorhinus ursinus (northern fur seal)
Lineage: Eukaryota; Metazoa; Chordata; Mammalia; Carnivora; Otariidae
Source: RefSeq, a predicted model, not a curated record